CCAUUUUUAUCGUUCUUCUUUUGCACUCAGCUCCGUCUUCUCUGCUACCGUUCCGGUACCGGUGUUCAUCAUGUCUCCGCCAAGAAUUCUUCUCUGCGGCGACGUUUUCGGCCGUCUCAACCAGCUUUACAAGCGUGUCGUCUCGGUUAACAAAUCAGCCGGUCCGUUCGACGUGCUUCUUUGUGUUGGACAGUUUUUUCCGGACUCAACCGACCAGCUCGAUGAGUUCAUGGAUUACGUUGAAGGUCGAUCAGUAAUCCCUCUUUCUACGUACUUCAUUGGCGACUAUGGCGUCGGUGCAGCUAAGGUUCUAUUGGCUUCUUCUAAAGACUCAGCCAAUCAAGGGUUUAAAAUGGACGGUUUGAAGAUUUGCGCGAAUUUGCACUGGUUGAAAGGCAGUGGGAAGUUCACGCUACAUGGUUUAUCUGUGGCAUACUUAUCUGGUAGAUGUUCUUCAGAUGGUCUUCCAUUUGGAACAUAUACUCAAGAUGAUGUUGACGCGUUGCGAGCAAUAGCUGAAGAACCUGGAGUUGUUGACUUGUUCCUCUCAAAUGAAUGGCCAACUGAGGUUACAAAUAGAGUACCAACAUCAGAUAUCCCUCCUGGAGUCUCAGAUCUCUCGGGAAGUGAUGCUACCAUCUCUGAAUUAGUUGUGGAAAUCAAACCUCGUUAUCACAUUGCAGGUACAAAAGGAGUGUUUUUUGCUCGAGAACCGUACUCUAAUGUUGAUGCUGUGCACGUGACUCGCUUUUUAGGUCUUGCUUCGGUAGGAAAUAAAGAGAAACAGAAAUUUAUUCAUGCGAUUUCUCCCAUCCCAUCGUCUACCAUGUCUGCUGUUGAAAUUAGUAUGAAGCCUCCAAAUACUACCUUAUCUCCAUACACACUCACUGAGCGGAAAUCUGAAGCCUCAGACUCUGCAAAGAGGUCCAGCAAUAGUGUUUCUGAAUCACAAUAUUGGAGAUAUGAAGUGUCUCAGAAACGACAAAAAUAUGGAACCUCAGAUACUAACAAGCUUUGUUUCAAGUUUACAUCUUCUGGAUCUUGUCCACGUGGAGAAAAAUGCAACUUUCAUCAUGACAUGGAUGCAAGAGAGCAAAGCCAGAGAGGUGUUUGUUUUGAUUUUCUGAAUAAAGGAAAAUGCGAAAGGGGUCCAGAUUGCAAUUUUAAACACAGCUUUCAGAAUGAAUUUGACAGCCACUCUGGGAAGAGGAGAUCUGGAAAUGCUGGAACCAAUAGGUCUAAAGAAUGCUGGUUUUGUUUAUCAAGUCCCAAUAUAGAGUCACAUCUUAUAGUCAGUGUGGGUGAGAGUUUCUACUGUGCACUGGCCAAAGGUCCUCUUGUUCCGGAUCACAUAUUGGUAAUACCUGUAGAGCACUUUCCAAACACCCUCUCUCUAGGCCCAGAUUAUGAAACUGAAAUCAACAGACUCCAAAAUUGCCUCCGGAAGUAUUUCAAGAGUCAAGGAAAGGAAGUUGUUUUCUUUGAGUGGGUUUCAAAGCGUAGCACUCAUGCUAAUCUUCAGGCUGUUCCUAUUCCAUCAUCUAGAGCUCAUGUGGUUCAGAACAUAUUUGAUAUGGCUGCUGAAAAGCUGGGCUUUAAGUUCGUGAUCUCUAAAUCAGCAGAUGCGCCUAGUGAAGGAAGAAAAUCAUUGAGGACACAGUUUGAUAGUGAUCACAGUUUCUUCUAUGCCGAACUUCCUGAAUGUGUUACCUUAUCGCAUGUUAUUGAGGAGAAUGAGAUAUUUCCAGCCCAAUUUGGACGAGAGGUUCUAGCAGGCUUGCUUAACAUGGCUGAUAAAGCUGAUUGGAGGAAUUGCGCCCAUUCUAAAGAAGAAGAAACAAAGAUGGCUGAAGAUUUCAAGAUAAGAUUUGAAAAUUUUGAUCCUAAUAAGUGAGUUCUUAGUUGUAUUUGGGAAAUUCCUGUCAUUGCCCUCAUGCUUCCUAGCGACUCAAGAUGCACCUCCUAAGGCUAUUUUAUUAUCUCAAGGACAUCUUGCAGAAGGUACACAUUGAGUAAAUUAUUUGGAUAUUUGAACCUUUUUCCAUCUUUUAGAGCGUAACAAACAGCCAGAUGAAGAUGAUACGAUGAUGUCCUUUACCUGAUAGCCAAGAUUCUGUCACGCCAGUUGUUUCUGGAUGCAUUGGAGUGAAAAAAAAAUGUGGUCUGUUACUGUUACAUACCAGAGCUCGUAAAAGAUGGCCCAGCUAUCAUAGGCACGUGUGACAUGUCGCCAGCUGAUCGAGCGUUUCUUACAAUUUCCAAAAAUCCAAUUGGGGUCCAUUCCAUGAGGUUCUCAGCAAUGGUUCAGGCUCCAACACUCAGUUCACGUCAAUGAAUUUAUGAACCACUUUUGUUAGUCUGUGACUUUAGAGUCUAGAUUGAGGUCCAUUGAAGUUUGGGUUAGGUGAAGGUCAUAGGUGAACGAGUGGACGAAAUUGAUGUGGCAAAUUUUUGUAUAAAAUGGUAUAUUUUCAAAUUUGAAAUUCAUGCGCUUUAAUGAGGACAGUAACUAGGAUGAUUGUUAUUAGGUAGAGAUGUACAUGAGUCGGUAGGUUGUUUUCAAUUAUGGGAAAACCAACAUUGAAACUUGGUCGGUUGAUCGGUCGGAUGAUUUUCCAGUCCAACUAUUUUUCUAGUGAGAUAACCAUGAAAAUGACAAAAUGUUAGAUAACAAA
Cucumis sativus (cucumber) is the source of this 2675-nucleotide RNA transcript. It is a transcript of the gene named zinc finger CCCH domain-containing protein 64, with no coding region annotated. NCBI's taxonomy places the organism in Eukaryota, Viridiplantae, Streptophyta, Magnoliopsida, Cucurbitales, Cucurbitaceae. The record is from RefSeq and is a predicted model, not a curated record. The transcript is spliced from 11 exons.